RNAcentral lists this small RNA (27 nucleotides) under Bombyx mori (domestic silkworm). RNAcentral's name for it is "piRNA piR-bmo-2063782". Lineage: Eukaryota; Metazoa; Arthropoda; Insecta; Lepidoptera; Bombycidae. The record is from RNAcentral.
UUAGUCCUAUCAGGAUGUGCUCCGUGA